UUCAUUUUUUUUGUGAGAGAAUAUCACUGAUUCCUUGCUAAUCCGAAAAAGAAAAAAAAAUCUUCAUCUGGAAUAAACUCAAUGCAUCCUCCUUAAAGUUUAGACAACAACAAUGAAUCAACCGCUUUCAACAACACAAAUUUUUCAACUUUGUACAAAAUUAAAAUCAAAAGCUUUCCAACAACACCACAAAAAUAUGGUGCACUUGGUUCAUUUCAUCAAAAUCUAUUUCAAGAAUAUUUUUGAACCCUUUUAACCACAACAAAUCAAUUUGAGCUCAAUUUUUUUUAUUCAAUUGCAAAUUCAAUUUAAAGCUUGGUCCUUUGCAUCAAGAUCCCGAAUGUCAUAUUUACCCAGAAUUGGUGGAUAUAAGUGAAUUAAUGAACGACGAAGGCUGGGAUAUUGAUAAAAUGCAACAGCUUUUGCCUGCAAGAAUAGUUGAGCAUAUUGGAAUGCAAGAGAACAAUUUCAUCCCCUCUAAUCUGUCUGAUAGACCAUGGUGGUUACUCAACAGUACAGGAAAGUUCAAAGUUAGCUCUGCUUGGGAGUUGCUAAGAAACAAGAAGGAAGUGAAUGUCUAUUAUAAUCUAAUUUGGGUGAAAAGGUUGCCUUUUAAAUUUGGCUUCCUAGCCUGGAUGAUUUUGGGAAAAAUUGUUACCUGUGGCUACUACUAUUGCUAAUUGGGAUAGGUCUGUUGAUCCUAAUUGUUUAUGUUGUACAGUACCUUUGCCUGAAACUGUACAACAUCUUUUCAUUGAUGGUGACAUGGCCAAAAAGGUAUGGAGUUAUUUUGCAAGUGCUGCUGGAAUUCAAGGUCCUUUCAUUCAAAUUAAGCAAACUGUACAGAAGUGGAGAGAUGUACAGGGUAACGAGGUGUUUAAAAAUGUUAUGGUUGAUGUCCCUAUCAUUAUUCUUUGGUUCCUAUGGAAAAGCAGAAAUACCAUUCUGCAUGGUGGAUUAUAUGCGUAUGAGAAAAUUAUUUUCGAUACUACUGAUACUAUUCAUAAGUUUAUUUAUACUAGAUUUUCUUGUUUUCAAGAGUUACCUAGAUAUUGGCCUCAUAUUGUGGAAAUUUUAGAAAGAUGGCAGCCCAGAUAUAGUUAUAAGAUGGUGAGAUGGUUGUACCCCCCUCCUGAUUGGUACAAGUGUAAUACAGAUGGUGCAUCCAAAGGUAAUCCUGGCCCUAGUUCAGCUGCUUUUUGUGUGAGAAACAGUGCUGGUGAUAUUAUAGGAGCAAAAGGGAGAAGUUUAUCGAUUUCAACCAACCUUAUGGCAGAAGUUGUGGCUAUAAGAGUGGGAAUUCACUAUUGCAUUGAAAGAAGUUUAUUGCCCCUAAUAGUAGAAAUCGAUUCUCUUUCAAUGACAAAAUUUAUUGAAGGGAUUUGGGAGGUCCCUUGGAGUGUGGUCAAGGAGGUUGAAGCAAUUAACAAGAUGAGGAAAAAUGUUCCUAUCCAAUUGAAACACACAUUGAGGGAAGGCAACACUCUGGCCGACUUUUUUGCUAACUUAGUUGUUAAUUUUGCAGGUACCUAUUUGGUGAAAAAAUUUCAGGAACUUCCUAUGAUGUGUGGUAUUAAUCUCUUUGAGAUUCAUCCUAUCAAGGGAGAACAUCUAGAAAGGAUUAGUGAGUGGUGAGUGAUCUUACAUCCUUUAAACAACAACGGAAAACUAUCUGGUUAAAAGCAUUUGUGCUGGAACUUAUAAAUUAUUUUUGAUGUGUGGUAUUAGUUUCUAUGAAGCGCAUUCCAUCAACGAUAACUAAUAAGGAAAAGCACCAUAUUUCCUACCUAAUAGCUUUCCAAAUGAAGAAAUAGUGUUAUUUGGAGUAAAGUUUCAACCCGAGAAUCGGUCCUUAACAACAUUUCUAGUGGUGUUUCAAAUCCACUACUGGUAGCGAAAGAAGUCAAUAAAUGGCGCAACUAUUUCAUUAUUUCAGAUGUAUAGAAAGAGCAACAAAUCGAAAUAAAGAACUGAGUCGAAGCUUACCUGAUCUGUAGUUGCUCCCUGUUGCUUCUAUAGUUGUUGUCUUCAGGUUGGCUUGUAGUGGUAGACAAAGAGAGAUCCGUGAAUAGUUCACCGGAGUUUGGCCGGCGCUUGGCCAGAGUAUACAUCUCCAAAGCUGCU
Molecule: long non-coding RNA, 2124 nt
Filed under: Solanum tuberosum (potato)
Lineage: Eukaryota; Viridiplantae; Streptophyta; Magnoliopsida; Solanales; Solanaceae
Description: long non-coding RNA (STUB_LNC004912)
Source: RNAcentral